This is a long non-coding RNA of Piliocolobus tephrosceles (Ugandan red Colobus), 2471 nucleotides long. RefSeq lists it as uncharacterized. The record is from RefSeq and is a predicted model, not a curated record. Lineage: Eukaryota; Metazoa; Chordata; Mammalia; Primates; Cercopithecidae. The transcript is spliced from 4 exons.
UCGACGUGGAUGCAGCGAGGGUGCAGCCUCGGGCACUCCGGCUGCGCGCACAGCGGCCCCUCCUCGGUGCACAGGCACGGGCAGGCCGAGGGGCCCGGCGCGAACUUCUCUCCGAUCGCGUACACGAAGCCGCUCUCGUCCACGCAGCCCUUGCCGCGAUAGUCCGGGUACACGUACUCCUCUGGUGGCUCGGGCGUGGGUGCGAGUUCCGGGCCAAUCGCGUCCUGGGCGGCUGCAGCCAGUGCUUCCCCCUGCGGGGUGUCCCCGCGGGGCCGGACCUGCAGAUCCCCGGCCUUGGCGCCCCCGCCCUGGGAGACCCAGGCCUGCUUCAGCUUGCUCCACGGCUCACGGCCGGCGAGCCCACGGCCGCUCUUGCUCUUCCAGUCUCGGCCGCUGCCGCCCUCGUCCCUCGCCGGGCGCCCGAGCUCGUUCACCCGCCCCGGGCCGUCCCGAGAGGCGUGCUCACGCUUCUCCUGGCCCGGCUGCUCUGGUGCCUGGGCCAGCUUCUCCAGCGGGAUGCUCGGACUGCACAGAGCCACCAUCAGGCAGCAGUACUCUCAUGUGGUUACAAUGGAGUAGUCCCAAACGUGUGACUAAUAAGAAGAAACAGUAACGGUGUAUGUGUCCAGGAUUCUAACUGAAAAAUUGAUUGGGGGCUCAGAUGAGAGAACACAUCAACACAUGCAUGGCUGAGAAAGGAUCCCUUGAUGCAUAUUAUCCCAUACCCUGAGGAAGAAGAGUCAAGGAGCAGAUUUGCCUGGGAGGAAAACACAAGAGAUCAUGCCUUGGGAGGAGAGGCACCACAGGGCAUCCAGUCGCAAGUGAAAUAGAAGAGAGUUCGCUCAGCUUUUGACUUGUAAGCGUGUUGAGAAGACUUCUUCCCUCCUUAUGUGCUGGAUCAGAAACCAGAAGUUCACCAGUAUCCUUUGAGUAAAAUGUUUCAAAUAGUUUCAAAGCCACCUUCUAUACUUGCAUUCAAAUCAUGUUUCUGCCAUGUGCCUCAAAGAUAUUGUUGCUGUUAAUUCAGCAUAGAUUUAUUUUUAUGCUAAUACCUAUUUUGUUGGAGAUUGUGCACUGAAAGAGAGAUAUUGAUAUGUAUUUGACAACAGAUAUGUUCGCCACCCAAUAUCCGUUCUCUUUCUUCUGAUGACACACACUGACCUGUUUUCCUCUAGAGAACCAACUCCUGCCCCAGUCUCAACACACCUGAUUCUCAGUUGGAGCUGCUGGCUGCAGCAGCAGACCCUGCCUGGCCAGCAUUGUCAUCCUUUGGUCAUGUUGGAUGUUCAAGGAUGCUCCUGUGAUCAAUCCCAUUGAGCCUGCAAGGGCUGGGUUCAUCUUGAACCGUAUGAAAAUAAAAUAUGUCUUUUCUUUUUCCUACUAGACUUGAAUCUUGUAAAAAUUAAGGCUUCACCUGCUAGGGUCACCACAAGUUGUAGGUAGGUUCUACCUGAAAUGGUGACAGUACAGAAGAAAACUGAAGCACGAAAAGAAGACAAAUCAGCUCCUGAUAAUGUGAUGUGAAGUGCGAGGUCUUUCCAGGGUCAAAGAAGUUUCUAACUGGUUCUCUUUGUAAUCACCAGAGCAAAUUCACAUCUUCCCCCACACCCCGCCCCCCAAGCUUAUUUGAAUUGAAGUCUUCUGUCACUUGGAAUUUCAGAAGCCCUGACAAAUAAAAUGGUUAGUUAAUCGAAUCAGCUAUAUCACAAUUCAAAUGGUGGCCUGACAACAUAUCUGCAGAUAUCAAAAUCCUACCAUAAUAAUUAGACUAUAAAUGGUUUUUAGUCCUAUUUUCAGUAUUCUCAAAAGUGCUCUCUUAGAAAUUAAGCCACCGCUUAUUCUGCACAAGAAUUCCUUUCAUGCCAUCCCAGCAAAUCUGCCUGUAUGCGCUCAGAUGCAGAACUGGUUCUGAAUUGUGCAAAGAGCCGACGUUGCCAGCUCUGCUCCAUUUUUUUCUGGCAGCCCCAGCAUCCACUCAAGAUUUCUGGAUCUUUUCCAAUUAUAACACCAUUUGGAAAUACUCAGCAUUUUCCAGCCUUGAAUAAUGUAUUGAUCUCUUUAAAGUAGAAAAUAUUCUCACAGACCCCCAAUGUUGACUUAAAUUCUUUUUAUUGUAAUUUUAGUUAAAUAUAUACGCAAACAUAAAACACUACAAACUGUUAGGCUUAUAGCUUUUAGACAACUAUAAAAAUAAACUUACAGAUCAGAUAUAAACUACAAAACCAAUGAAAUGGAAAUGAGCUACAUUAGCUUACCAGGGCAGAGCAGAGAGUAUUCCUGAAGCCCCAUGGCUGCUCAGCUUGGGAGGCCAAUGUUUCUAAUUACUCUGAGUUCUGAGCUCAGCAUUAUCAGAGGGUUCCUGCCUGGCAAGGCCAGGAUUCUCCAAAAUUUUUCUGUAUUUAGAUUAUUUCAAUGCUUCAUUAGGAUGGUUUCCCAUAAAGUCACUGGCCUCUACUUAACAUAACUAUAGC